GAUGAACGCUGGCGGCGUGCCUAAUACAUGCAAGUAGAACGCUGAAGGAGGAGCUUGCUCUUCUGGAUGAGUUGCGAACGGGUGAGUAACGCGUAGGUAACCUGCCUGGUAGCGGGGGAUAACUAUUGGAAACGAUAGCUAAUACCGCAUGACAACAGUUAUUGCAUGAUAACUGUUUAAAAGGGGCAACUGCUCCACUACCAGAUGGACCUGCGUUGUAUUAGCUAGUUGGUGAGGUAACGGCUCACCAAGGCGACGAUACAUAGCCGACCUGAGAGGGGGGUCAGCCGCACUGGGACUGAGACACGGCCCAGACGCCUACGGGAGGCAGCAGUAGGGAAUCUUCGGCAAUCGGCGGAAGUCUGACCGAGCAACGCCGCGGGAGGGAAGAAGGUUUUCGGGUCGUAAAGCUCGGUUGUAAGAGAAGAACGAGUGUGAGAGUGGAAAGUUCACACUGUGACGGUAUCUUACCAGAAAGGGACGGCUAACUACGUG
Molecule: ribosomal RNA, 495 nt
Filed under: uncultured bacterium
Lineage: Bacteria
Description: partial 16S ribosomal RNA
Rfam family: Bacterial small subunit ribosomal RNA
Source: RNAcentral